This 460-nucleotide ribosomal RNA is filed under the name uncultured bacterium. RNAcentral describes it as "partial 16S ribosomal RNA". It matches the Rfam family "Bacterial small subunit ribosomal RNA", at positions 338 to 795 of the family's 1533-position model. The record is from RNAcentral.
CCUACGGGUGGCAGCAGUGAGGAAUAUUGGUCAAUGGACGAGAGUCUGAACCAGCCAAGUAGCGUGAAGGAUGACUGCCCUAUGGGUUGUAAACUUCUUUUAUAUGGGAAUAAAAUGUUCCACGUGUGGGAUUUUGUAUGUACCAUAUGAAUAAGGAUCGGCUAAUUCCGUGCCAGCAGCCGCGGUAAUACGGAGGGUCCGAGCGUUAUCCGGAUUUAUUGGGUUUAAAGGGAGCGUAGGUGGAUUGUUAAGUGUGUUGUGAAAGGAUGCGGCUCAACCGUAAAAUUGCAGUUGAAACUGGCAGUCUUGAGUACAGUAGAGGUGGGCGGAAUUCGUGGUGUAGCGGUGAAAUGCUUAGAUAUCACGAAGAACUCCGAUUGCGAAGGCAGCUCACGGGACUGCAACUGACACUGAGGCUCGAAAGUGUGGGUAUCAAACAGGAUUAGAUACCCGAGUAGUC